RNAcentral lists this transfer RNA (62 nucleotides) under Ozobranchus jantseanus. Its description in RNAcentral is "tRNA-Lys". Lineage: Eukaryota; Metazoa; Annelida; Clitellata; Hirudinida; Ozobranchidae. The record is from RNAcentral.
AAUUAAGGAGCUUGAAUAAGCACUUGACUUUUAAUCAAGAGAUAACCCCAGGUUCUUAAUUA